AUUGAACGCUGGCGGCAGGCCUAACACAUGCAAGUCGAGCGGCAGCGGGAAGUAGCUUGCUACUUUGCCGGCGAGCGGCGGACGGGUGAGUAAUGUCUGGGAAACUGCCUGAUGGAGGGGGAUAACUACCGGAAACGGUAGCUAAUACCGCAUAACGUCGCAAGACCAAAGAGGGGGACCUUCGGGCCUCUUGCCAUCAGAUGUGCCCAGAUGGGAUUAGCUAGUAGGUGGGGUAACGGCUCACCUAGGCGACGAUCCCUAGCUGGUCUGAGAGGAUGACCAGCCACACUGGAACUGAGACACGGUCCAGACUCCUACGGGAGGCAGCAGUGGGGAAUAUUGCACAAUGGGCGCAAGCCUGAUGCAGCCAUGCCGCGUGUAUGAAGAAGGCCUUCGGGUUGUAAAGUACUUUCAGCGGGGAGGAAGGUGUUGAGGUUAAUAACCUCAGCAAUUGACGUUACCCGCAGAAGAAGCACCGGCUAACUCCGUGCCAGCCGCCGCAGUAA
RNAcentral lists this ribosomal RNA (506 nucleotides) under uncultured bacterium. Its description in RNAcentral is "partial 16S ribosomal RNA". It matches the Rfam family "Bacterial small subunit ribosomal RNA", at positions 30 to 523 of the family's 1533-position model. The record is from RNAcentral.